GCCUACGGGGGGCAGCAGUGGGGAAUAUUGCACAAUGGGGGAAACCCUGAUGCAGCGACGCCGCGUGAGUGAAGAAGUAUUUCGGUAUGUAAAGCUCUAUCAGCAGGGAAGAUAAUGACGGUACCUGACUAAGAAGCCCCGGCUAACUACGUGCCAGCAGCCGCGGUAAUACGUAGGGGGCAAGCGUUAUCCGGAUUUACUGGGUGUAAAGGGAGCGUAGGUGGCAGGGCAAGUCAGAAGUGAAAGCCCGGGGCUCAACUCCGGGACUGCUUUUGAAACUGUAUGGCUAGAUUGCAGGAGAGGCA
Molecule: ribosomal RNA, 305 nt
Filed under: uncultured bacterium
Lineage: Bacteria
Description: bacterial SSU rRNA
Rfam family: Bacterial small subunit ribosomal RNA
Source: RNAcentral